This 519-nucleotide small RNA is filed under the name Clonostachys rosea. RNAcentral describes it as "eukaryotic LSU rRNA". The stretch from base 148 to 301 matches the Rfam family "5.8S ribosomal RNA". Lineage: Eukaryota; Fungi; Ascomycota; Sordariomycetes; Hypocreales; Bionectriaceae. The record is from RNAcentral.
UAACUCCCAACCCAUGUGAACAUACCUACUGUUGCUUCGGCGGGAUUGCCCCGGGCGCCUCGUGUGCCCCGGAUCAGGCGCCCGCCUAGGAAACUUAACUCUUGUUUUAUUUUGGAAUCUUCUGAGUAGUUUUUACAAAUAAAUAAAAACUUUCAACAACGGAUCUCUUGGUUCUGGCAUCGAUGAAGAACGCAGCGAAAUGCGAUAAGUAAUGUGAAUUGCAGAAUUCAGUGAAUCAUCGAAUCUUUGAACGCACAUUGCGCCCGCCAGUAUUCUGGCGGGCAUGCCUGUCUGAGCGUCAUUUCAACCCUCAUGCCCCUAGGGCGUGGUGUUGGGGAUCGGCCAAAGCCCGCGAGGGACGGCCGGCCCCUAAAUCUAGUGGCGGACCCGUCGUGGCCUCCUCUGCGAAGUAGUGAUAUUCCGCAUCGGAGAGCGACGAGCCCCUGCCGUUAAACCCCCAACUUUCCAAGGUUGACCUCAGAUCAAGUAGGAAUACCCGCUGAACUUAAGCAUAUCAUA